AAAUACAUUUACGAUGCCAAAACAAAGAGCUCAAUGCUAAAUUAUUCAUGUCCUAACUUAUACAUAAAAAUCUCUACAGGAAGCACCAGUAUCAGAUAGAACAGUUAUAGUAAAGGACACAAACAAUCCUGAAUACAACCAGACAUUCAACCUCACCAUCAACCGCACCAGAGCUUGCCUGAGGGUGUUCAAACGACACGGUAUCAAGUUCGAAGUCUGGUCGCGCGGGUGCGGCGGCUGCGCUGACGCGCUGUUCUGUUGCAGCGGCUGGUUCCGCAGCGACGCGCUCGUGGGCGCCGCCACCGUCAAGCUGGCGCCGCUGCAGGACCACAUCACGCUGCAUAACUCCUUCCCGUUGAUGGACGGGCGUCGGCCUACAGGAGGCUCGUUGGAAGUCAAGCUCAACGUCCGGACGCCACUACUGCAGGAACAAGUCAAGACCACUCAGCAUCGGUGGAUAGUCAUCGAAGAUUAAUCAUAAGACUCCGCAAAAAGUAUUCAUACAUUCAUAUAAAUGUGGGCACUUGAUACUUGUGCAAGCGCUUACAUGUCACGUGACCAAUCAGAAAGGAUCGUUGUCUUAACGAUUAGUCAUUUGUUUCGGUUGUCAGUUACACGGAAUAAAACACUAUCAGUUUCUUAAGUUUAUGAAUUUGAUCUGUUUAUUAAACAUUUUGUUGGUCAAUCAAAAAUCUUAACUAAACGUCGAGUUUGAUUAGACAUUUGAUAGGUAAUUAAUUUCUUUACUUGUAUUGACCAGUUUUGUAGAAACUAUCAAUUUAUUCUUGUUACAUACCGAGUAAAAAGCAUGCAAAUUGGUUUCUCUGAAGUAGGAGGAUAAUUGUCACAAACAUAGAACAAACAUCAAUGGUUUACCUAAAACAGGUAUUUUAUUACUUAGCUUUGCGGUAAAGCGCACUAUUAUAAAAAGUAAAAAUAUAUGUAUGCAAAUGUGUAAAAGAAAUUGCGGCUUAAAACACGGAGUGAGAUAGAAGUAUACAAAAUGGUAGGUAAGACAGAGAUAGUUGUUUUUGUAACUUUAAUAAAGAUGCACUUCGUAUAUUACAUGCAAAUCAUUUUGAUUUAGAUUUGUUGCUGAAUUCUUCGGUUGUGGAUAUGCGCAUAAGUGUAAAUGUGACCUUUGUCGAUAUUACGUAUCAAAAGCCAAAGCGACAACAACCUAUACACAAUAGCUGACUAUAAUAAUUUGAUAAUGGUUAACAGACAGGGAGGUGUAAAGGGGGUUUACUUGAACCGACCGUGUGAGUCGCUCCUCGCUGCCUUUGCUCAUAAUUAAGGACUCUGGUUGGGUCCGAAACUAGUCGAGCUAUCGCGAUUAAUACGUGAGAGGAAGGCUUUAUCAAGAAAAAAAAGAACGUUGCUAUUAUAAUAUAGAGAACUGUUUCUUCAAAAUUAAAUCCAUUUCGUGAUGAUAAAUGUUUCGCACAGCGUUCGCAAGAUGUAUGCCCAGUAUGAUACAAGCUGUUGUGAUUAAAUAUAUAAAAAAUGCAUUUUAAUGAGCAAUAUUUUGAUGUAAAUGGUGGGAAGGUUAGCUUUAUCAAGAGUUGAAGGAGUGUUAAUGGGUAUGUUAUGUAAUUAUAUGUAAAUAAUCUUAUAAAUAUUCACAAACUAUAUCUGUCUCUUUUUAUCUUAUUGCACUUCUAAUUAGAUUGAAAGGGACAGAAAUAUUAUAACUUUUUUCUUUCAAUACGUUAAUGAACGAAGCUUUAGUGUUUAAGUCAUUGUAAAAUACGAAAAUCUCAAUAUUACACGUCCAGCUAUUUUCUCUAUUUUGUUACUUGUAAUGUUAUGCGAAAUUGAACUUUAAUUGUGUAAGAUAGAGUCUCAAUUUCUUUAUCAUAUGAUGUUAUGUUUUUUUAAAGCAAAAUUUAGCCUUAUGUAUUAGUGAUACGGUUCAAUAUUCACUGUUUCUAGCCAGUGUGGAGGCAAAAUAUAGCUAAAAGCAAAAAUUAAAUGAAUUCAAGAUGUUGUUAUUUUUGUGUUAUUUGAAUUUUUGUUUAUUGAAUUAAGAUUAUUGUAUAAAAUCAUGGAUAAUUCGUAAAUUAUUAAUAAUGGCAAUGGCUUUCCAAUUUUUCUAUGUUGAUGAAGUCCAAAACAAUUUGACAUAUUUUUUGCAAAUAAAUAAUUUAUAUUUUUAUACAGAAGUAGUACACUAUACACAAUUUACAAGCAUUUAAAUUACAACACUUAGGAGUGACAUUUUUACAAGUGCUAUUCCUGCAAAUGUAUGGGAAUAACAAUUCUUGUGAAAAGGGUAUUUCUAAAAAAGAAUUGUUGAGUUCCAUUACACAGAUUUCUUAAAAAUAUUCUACACGCAUUUUUUAUUUUAUCUCGUAAACAAAAAAGUGAAGAUGUACAGUGAAAUCAAAUGUCUUGUGACGUCACUUACCAGUUCGCUUUUUACUAGCAUGUGAUGUUAGCAACCUUAAAUCCUUUCAAUCUUGCUUACUGUUAAUUAUGUCAUAAAGUUAAAAUUAUGUAUUAAAUAUUUAUUGGAAAUCUGUCUGACGCACUAUACAGAUUUAUAUUAUUUGAUUUAGUCAAAUACCCUGUUCCAUACAUUUGGGUCAUUGCUUUAAAAAUGUCACUUGUCUAAGAGCGCAGAUUGUCUAAAAGACAAAUUGUAGCCGUGUAAGAUAUGAGACACGUUUUGGCGAAUAAUUCACGGAAUACGUUACAUUAUUUAUAUUUAAGAAUGUAUAUUUUAAUGUUAAUAAAUGUAUUAAUAAAGAUC
Long non-coding RNA from Trichoplusia ni (cabbage looper), 2755 nucleotides. RefSeq lists it as uncharacterized. NCBI's taxonomy places the organism in Eukaryota, Metazoa, Arthropoda, Insecta, Lepidoptera, Noctuidae. The transcript is spliced from 3 exons. The record is from RefSeq and is a predicted model, not a curated record.